This 263-nucleotide ribosomal RNA is filed under the name uncultured bacterium. RNAcentral describes it as "partial 16S ribosomal RNA". It matches the Rfam family "Bacterial small subunit ribosomal RNA", at positions 1237 to 1500 of the family's 1533-position model. The record is from RNAcentral.
CAACAGAGGGAGGCAAAGCCGCGAGGCAGAGCAAACCCCUAAAAGCCAUCCCAGUUCGGAUUGCAGGCUGCAACCCGCCUGUAUGAAGUUGGAAUCGCUAGUAAUCGCGGAUCAGCAUGCCGCGGUGAAUACGUUCCCGGGCCUUGUACACACCGCCCGUCACACCAUGAGAGUCGGGAACACCCGAAGUCCGUAGCCUAACCGCAAGGAGGGCGCGGCCGAAGGUGGGUUCGAUAAUUGGGGUGAAGUCGUAACAAGGUAGC